AGUCAAGUUCUACUCAUCGUACUCAUUGCAGGACUGAGACUGGAUUUCUAGUUGGUGUCUAAGACCUCCAUGUGAUGAGUGCCAUCUGCAGAAUACCACCACUUCCUCAAGAUCAGUUCUAGGCUUGCCCGUUCAGCUGAUGAACUCAGCCUUCCUCACUGACUGAAUGAAUGAAAAAGAAGCACGAUUCGAUCAGUUCCAAGCAGUGAUGGUAUGAGUAAUUCUGAAAUUCCCAAGCACUGCUAUGAAGCCUGCAAGCACAAAAGCACAAUGUUUGGUUAAAAAAUAUUCAUGUGGCUUUCUGCAUACACUCAUGUAUGAAGCUGAAAACCAGAAGUGCGGUGCCAGACGCUAAUAAAGCAAAAGUAAUCGGUGAAGUCCCAAACAGAAGUGAGGAAGCUGUCUCCCGCAGACCACAGUUCCUUCGUGAACAGGAACAGUAGAUCCAACUGGAGUUCCACCUGAAAGCAUUUGUGCAAGUAAAGAGCACUGUUGAGUUCCGGCAGCAAUUCAGAUUGGUUUUCAGAAGUGCCAGAGCACCUAGGAAGGCACCUAGUCAUGGAACAGGCCUGCACUGUGGGCAGAGUGGGCAAGUAGCAACAGGAUGACUGUGGUGAGCUUCGCAGGCACACAACAGUACAGACUGGAGGGAUAAGAUCUCCAUGAGGACCUGGAGUCUGCUUCUGCAAGCAUCCCAAGUGAUAUGUAAACCUUUCACUGCUGAAGAACUCAGCCUCAGCCCAGAGAGGGUUGAGGCACCACAAAAAAGACACAAGAGAAGGAGAGAGGAAAGAUGAGAACAAAAGAUAGAAAAGCUGAGGUGCGGAGCAUAAGAGUGUCUUGCUCAAGAUUGUGCAUGCUUGUGUCAGAGCAGAGAGGACUUCAGUGUUUUCACUGUGGGAAGACGCUCUGUGAAGCAUCCUGUAUAUCCAGUCUGGUGCACAUCCUCAUCCCAGCCCUGCUCCACUUUCAUCUCCAGCUCCAUUGUGUGCUCCACAAGGUCUCCUACCCAAAACGCCAAGGGGACCAGAACCAGAGCCCCACAAGUUGCUCACCUGCCUUACAGUGUGGACACGACCCAAAUCUUCAGACUCGUAAGCAUGCUUUCUGUAGUCUGAGCAUUGCCCUCCUUCCACUGUAAAUGAGGACCCUUGGGCUGAAAUGGAGCAGUACAAACUAUAACAAAUCUUCUGUCAGUGCACAUCUUUUCUAGGAGAAAUGAAUGCAGAUGUUUCAUUCAAUCACAACUGCAUAAAAGAACAAACUUUCAUAGUCAAGCGCUCAAAUGUUCAGAGAUGCCAGCAAGCUCUCAGAACAUUCACUGUGCAUAUGCAUGAUGUAGAAUGUUAAUUAUGUGAUCCCAUACUGUUUCCUUCCACAGGACACCUACCUUAAGCGUACAGGAUAAUGGUACUCCUUUAAUGAGCAGCUAUGUGAUUUUUUGCUUUCACAUUGUGGUUCCAUGUGUGGCCACGUGCUUUCUUUUCUACACACUGUUCAAUCUCAGCUCUCAAGGCAGUGAUUAAUGCUCUCAAGGACUUCUCCAUGGCAACAAUCAAUCUGUCAUUCCCUAAUUUUCAAGUGCUUUACUUUGCAACAUUAACAGGGUUUUCUGUUAAAUUGAUAUGUGUUGUGCCCUAUAUUUUUAAUACUAGGCUUUGCUCCGGGAUGGAAACCUUAAAUGUAUUUGUCUUCUUUGAUUUCAAAGAUUGCUCAGGUAGUAGUAGCAGGAUACUUUCCACUCCAUAUGAUGUGGUUGCCUGUGAUAAUUGGGAGACACAUUUGGUGAUGCAAAAGGGACAUUUCUGUCCUAUACUUCUAUUUAGGAUUAGUAAUAAAUGAUUGUAUACGACAAAAAUGCGGUAAUUUCCAAGACUGUUGGGGAAAAGAAGCCAGGACAUCCACACAGAAAAAAAUGGGAACACUAAAAAGCAGUUGUCCUUUAAAUAAUAAAGUCUAUAACCAGCCGUGUGUCCUCAACCAGAGUCCUAGAGUCCUGGAUUGCUCCAUCAUCAACCACUAUGCAAGAUUGGUUUCUAUUUUCAUUGCUUAGAGGUAACCAUCAACAGAUGGUGUUUUGAAACACUCAUGAUUUUGGCUAAUAGAGUUACUGUUGCCAAGUGUCCUGUCCUCCAAGUAGUGAUUAGAUUUACUAUUAUUAAUAAAUAGUACAUCAUAAUGAUACAAACAGUCCAAACCCUGAAGUCCUUAGUCCUAAGCAACUCCUACACCCUUCAAUACUUUGUUCUCAUAUCUUUGGAUGACUAAGUGUUUUACUGAACACAGCCAAGUCCUCCCUUCUGAUCUCUGCUAGCAAUCACUAUUUUUUUAAUACAGAUUCUCAUGGCAUCCUCCGCAUAAGCUCUCACCAAUGGGAAUUCCAUAUGGUGGUUAGAACAGAAUUUGCUCAUGCAGGACUCAGCCAUAGGAACUUUAAUCAAAACUUUCAUUAAAUACCCAGAGCAGAGGAGCCAAAAACUCUGGCCUACUUCACACAUUCAUAUCUAGUUGGCCCUUUCCAAUUCCACAGAACUCAGGUGUUCAUUUGAAAGGAAAAGUAAAAACCCAUAAACUUCUGUACAUGGCCAGAAGGCGAGCCAGUGACUUCUACCUGAGCAAAUAUGUGCAGUAUAAGGCCAAUCCUUGACAAUAAAUGAAUUUCUUGUACUACUGACUGUUGGGAAACAGUACAGAGUACAUUGAGAAAACAGCAGAAGGUGAGAGAAAAUCCAAUUUAAGGCCAGACUUCAAAAAAGAGAAGAGUAUAACCCUGAGAGUCACUAUUCUUUAAGAGUAACUCCUACACUCAGUGAAAUUAAGGGCAAUGCUGCAAGGAAAAAAAUGUGCUCAGUGUUACCCUGGAGGAUCAGGGAACAGCAAAGUGAAGGGGAAAUAUAUGAGACAGGAGUGACAGGUGCAAUACGAGAGUAUAAUUAAGGAAAUCAUAUUUCAGGACUGGAGUAUGAUAUUAUUCCAAAUUGAGAGACUGAGCUACGGAAAAAUAUAAAUGACUUGCAAGGUUGUGAAGGUCCUAAGAGGGCAUGAAGCUCCCCAUAAUCAGCAACAUGAUGCAACCAGGAUAUAUCGUCCCUCUCCCAAGGAAAGCAAUGCAAUUUAAAUUCUAUCAUAUUUAGCAUAUAAAAUACUUUUAGGCAACUGCUUAAAUAAAGAACUGCCUGCUAUUACAUUCCUUGAUUGCUCUUGGUGACCAGGUUAGGCAUACUGCCAUUUCUUACAGCACUGCUUCUACCUAAAUUCUGACUUUGAUCAUACAGACCAAUCUCACUGGCAGUUUUGCCAGAGAAAGGUCUGAUGAUUUCAAAACUUGGCCCAAAACUUCAGAGCAGAAGUGGCGGUAAACAUUAGUCACAGUAACAAACUAAUUUGUUUUCCAUAUGGCAUUUUCAAUGGAGUGUGGAAGAUUCACAAGUGAAAUAAUAAUUACAAAUGAGGAAUGCUUAAAAAAAAUCUUAUCCCUGUGCAUCAGUUAAAAGGAUUUUGUAAUUAAGUCAAUAGUUGAUUAUGUUGGAGAUGACAUUGGCAGCCAGCUCCUACUUUGUGGGGCUUUGUUCUUAGGGACAGAGCGUUGUCAGGGGCAGUAAAAUUCCCUCAUCUCUUCAGCCCUGGGUGCUGCUGAGAUGGAAGAGAGGAGAGAGGAGUGUUUGAUCCCCUUUGGAAAAUCAGGUGGUGAAUAUUUUCUUAAUAACGUUGUUGUUUGUAGAAGAAAAUUUUGCUCUGCAAGAUGAAGGGUCAAUAUUACUGGUGAAGCCAAGUCAAAGACAGAUGCUUAAAGAUACUCUGGCGGAGCUCAAAGCCAGCUCAGGGCUGGAAAUUAUGCUGCAGGGCAAAACAGAAUUAGCUUCAUGAGAUCUCAGCCCUAAGGGAACAAAACCCGGAACAGACUACUCUCCUUCCAAACUAUUGUUAUGGAAAAAGAAAAAAAGAAAAAAAAGGGGGAAGGAUAUAUAUAGAAAUACAUAUACAAUAAGGAUGGAGCCAAGAAUUUGUUAGCAGAUUAAUAUUUUGAAAGCCAGGAAUCUGAUAGUCCAAUUAAUAUUUUGAAAGUCUAAUAUUCCAAAAUUCCUAAUUAAUGUUAAUUAUAGACUCAUCAAUAAUGCAAUUUAAAUUAUUAUACCAAAAAGAAAAAAAAAAAAAAAAGCUUUCCUAGCCUUUACCCCUUUUCUCUGGUGUGAUGUGACUUUCUGCACUUAAGAUGGGAAGAAAUAUGAGACUUGUUUGCUCAUACUCACUUGCAAGCAAAGUAUUUUACAACUUUCACUCAAUCAUUCAUUUUCUAUCUCACAAAUCAGCCUAAGGACAGUUCUCCUUUCUGAAUUUCACUGCCAGUCAAUCACAGGGAACUUGCAGAAGUGAAUGGUACUACUUCCACAGACAGCCGAGCGUGUGGAAAGAUUUAGACUUCAUGAGUUAUUUUUUGAUUUGUAGUAGAAAUGCUGAUUGUACGUUUAUUUUUUAAAUGCAACUCGGGUCCUAUCCGUUCAAAUCUUUAUACAAAUUUGGAUUACUCUUCUUAUCUCUUAAUGGCUGUCUAGAAUAAGCACAGAGCCCUGUUCUGAAUGCAGAGAAUCCCGAGUGUAGCAGAGUGAGGCUGAAUUAAUGAAAUGACCCUCGCUGAAAGACAGCUCAGGCCUGAAGCAUCACAUCCCGCGGGGAAAUGUCCACUUCUAUCACAUUUGCUGUUCAGGGACCUCAAAACAUUUUAAGGGUAUGAUUUUUCAGAAGGGCCUCCAGAGAAUAUAAUUCUUCCUUCUCUCACUCAAGUCCUUUUGGGAAAUGUCAGAGAAAUACUAGAACUUUUUUGCCAAGAUUAUUACAGAGCAUGCCAUAGGCCACAUUUUGUUGAAUAUGGAGGAACAGACUGUUUUUGCAGAUACGUCCACUCAGUAGGCAGGUGUGAGAGAUGGCCAAGUCUCUUCCUCCAAGAUUUCAUAUGAUUUAUGUAUUGGUUCUUCUGCUGGGAUAGUAUCAAUUCACAUCUCUUUUUCCUGUGUGCUGCUUUUUUUGACAUUGAGAAACCCAAGGCAGACACCAGGAAGACAUGACACUGCUUAUUAUAGAAUCAUAGAAUCAUUAAGUUUGGGAAAAACCACUAAGAUCAUCCAGUCCAACCAUCAGUCCACC
This is a long non-coding RNA of Numida meleagris (helmeted guineafowl), 5142 nucleotides long. RefSeq lists it as uncharacterized. The transcript has 4 exons. The record is from RefSeq and is a predicted model, not a curated record. Lineage: Eukaryota; Metazoa; Chordata; Aves; Galliformes; Numididae.